Molecule: ribosomal RNA, 279 nt
Filed under: uncultured bacterium
Lineage: Bacteria
Description: partial 16S ribosomal RNA
Rfam family: Bacterial small subunit ribosomal RNA
Source: RNAcentral
UGCCAGCCGCCGCGGUAAUACGAAGGGUGCGAGCGUUAAUCGGAAUUACUGGGCGUAAAGAGCACGUAGGUGGUUUAGUAAGCGGAAUGUGAAAGCCCAGGGCUCAACCUUGGAACUGCAUUCCGAACUGCUAGGCUAGAGUAUGGUAGAGGUAAGCGGAAUUUCCUGUGUAGCGGUGAAAUGCGUAGAUAUAGGAAGGAACAUCAGUUGCGAAGGCGGCUUACUGGACCAAUACUGACACUGAGGUGCGAAAGCGUGGGUAGCGAACAGGAUUAGAUA